UUUUACAAUUCGAAAAAAAAAAAAUCGUAACGGAACUUAAACUCCUUCGGUCGCUAUAAAUCAUCAGUAUUAAACCUCAAAGUGAUAGAUUACCACCGUGACGCUUUAAGCUAAAAACAAUAGCCAUUUCCAAUCUACACAAUAGCAUAUUAACGUAUUGCAACUAAUUAACAAUCAGCCAAUCUGUUAUCAGUAAGAAUGCACCUUAUAUAAGAGUUAGUAACAGUUGUCACGGCUAUUCCAAUAUUGAACGUCGUGUGGUUAACUUCUAGUGCUUUUUAUUAAACAUCAUGCGUUUAGUUAUUUGUUUAGCGUUAUUUGUAACGGCAUGUAUUUGUAUGUCGGCGAAGCCUUUUUAUGACGUGAACGAUGCUCCGGCACUCUUUGAAAAGUUUAUAAGAGAUUACCAGAGACAUUACAAGAAUGAGGAAGAUAGACGAAUACAUUAUGAUGCAUUUGUGCACUCGUUGAAUGAAAUAAAUAGACUGAAUUCGGCGAACGAGUAUGCUACGUUUGAUAUUAACAAUUUUGCGGACUUUACGGAGGAAGAAAAAAAGAAACACCGUGGCCUUCUACCUUCGUAGGAUCGCCUGCUAUUUACCGACUGAAAGAAACAAAGGCAAACCAACUACCAACCAACCAAUCAAUUGCUCAUCUGGAAAAUUGUAUACCAAUUUAUUGUUAAUCCAAUAUAAAUAUACAUAAUUUAUAUAACUAACGAAAACUACA
Long non-coding RNA from Bicyclus anynana (squinting bush brown), 729 nucleotides. RefSeq lists it as uncharacterized. The transcript is spliced from 2 exons. The record is from RefSeq and is a predicted model, not a curated record. Lineage: Eukaryota; Metazoa; Arthropoda; Insecta; Lepidoptera; Nymphalidae.